ACAGCAGUAGCCGCGGGAAUACGUAGGUCCCGAGCGUUGUCCGGAUUUAUUGGGCGUAAAGCGAGCGCAGGCGGUUAGAUAAGUCUGAAGUUAAAGGCUGUGGCUUAACCAUAGUACGCUUUGGAAACUGUUUAACUUGAGUGCAGAAGGGGAGAGUGGAAUUCCAUGUGUAGCAGUGAAAUGCGUAGAUAUAUGGAGGAACACCGGUGGCGAAAGCGGCUCUCUGGCUUGUAACUGACGCUGAGGCUCGAAAGCGUGGGGAGCAAACAGGAUUAGAUACCCCUGUAGUCCCUGUCUCUUAUACA
This 305-nucleotide ribosomal RNA is filed under the name uncultured bacterium. Its description in RNAcentral is "partial 16S ribosomal RNA". It matches the Rfam family "Bacterial small subunit ribosomal RNA", at positions 506 to 808 of the family's 1533-position model. The record is from RNAcentral.